This is a long non-coding RNA of Oncorhynchus tshawytscha (Chinook salmon), 1595 nucleotides long. Lineage: Eukaryota; Metazoa; Chordata; Actinopteri; Salmoniformes; Salmonidae. The record is from Ensembl.
ACCAGUAACCACCAUUAACAACCAGCUUCACCAGUAACCACCAGUGAUGCUGCUGCUAGGAGGAGACAGACACUUAUUAACAACCAGCUUCACCAGUAACCACCAGUGAUGCUGCUGUUAGGAGGAGACAGACACUUAUUAACAACCAGCUUCACCAGUAACCACCAGUGAUGCUGCUGCUAGGAGGAGACAGACACUUAUUAACAACCAGCUUCACCAGUAACCACCAGUGAUGCUGCUGUUAGGAGGAGACAGACACUAAACAACCAGCUUCACCAGUAACCACCAGUGCUGCUGCUGUUAGGAGGAGACAGACACUUAACAACCAGCUUCACCAGUAACCACCAGUGUUGCUGCUGUUAGGAGGAGACAGACACUAAACAAGGCCUUUAUUGUACUGCCUGAGAGACACUGUACCCACUUCUCAACUACAGUAUAGCCUAAAGAAAGGAACGUGUAACUAAAUAACCUUGAAGUUAUGAAGAUGAUGACGUUUAUUAUGACUAUCAUGAUGGUGACAAUGAUUAGGCUGAUUUUAGUGAUGGUAUAUUAUGCUGAUUUUAGUGAUGGUAUAUAAUGCUGAUUUUAGUGAUGGUAUUGUAACGACCCUGGGUGUCUAAGCGCGGAAAUCGACCCUGCCGCACGAGCAUGCUUUUGCGGCACAGUCGAUAGCGCGCCGUACCUCGGGCUCGAAGGUCGAGGGUUCGAGACCUGCUCCCUGCUGUUUCAUUACAGUAUAUAAUGCUGAUUUUAGUGAUGGUAUAUUAUGCUGAUAUUAGUGAUGGUAUACAAUGCUGAUUUUAAUGAAGGUAUAUUAUUCAGAUUUUAGUGAUGGUAUAUUAUACUGAUUUUAGUGAUGGUAUAUUAUGCUGAUUUUAGUGAUGGUAUAUUAUGCUGAUUUGAGUGAUGGUAAUCAUGAUUAUUUUUGGUAGGUCUCUUACUAGUAUAAUUAUCUUGAUUUCUGGGAAAUCAGGGUGCAGAUUUCAACUAGCCACAGAGUGCCUCUUUAGAUGUAGUUAUCUAUUGUCUGUCGGUGGCUGUGUGUUUGUCUGGUGUUCUGUGGUAACAGAUGUACGAUGUGCGAGGCAGAUUUACAGACUGUGGGUCUUUUUGUGUGUGUGUGUGUGUGUGUGUGUGUGUGUGUGUGUGUGUGUGUGUGUGUGUGUGUGUGUGUCUGAAUUGAGUGUUUAUUAGGAUCCCAUUGGCUAGUGCUAAAGCAGCAGCUACUCUUCCUGGAAUCCACAUAAAACAUGACAUAAUACAGAACAUGAAUAGACAAGAACAGCAUCAGGACAGAACUACAUACAAUGUCAAAUAAGUAUACACUUUUCAUUCAUUAUCGCCUUCAUAAUCAGGCGAUUCAUAGACACUACUGAAUGCAAUUGCAACACACGAAAAGAGGUGCGUUGCAAACUGACGUGAAUAUAGCAAACCUGUUUCUCUAAAUUCCCCUGUGUAGGUGUGUGUGUUCUGCGAGGGGAAGUGAGUAGGCUGUGUGUGUGAGUAACGUAAACGGCUGUACCCAAACCGUGGUGGUUACUGUGGUCACAAGUGACAAUGAGGAUGUCUCACAAUCAGUCAGUCAGUCACCUCAG